Molecule: ribosomal RNA, 410 nt
Filed under: uncultured Flavobacteriia bacterium
Lineage: Bacteria; Pseudomonadati; Bacteroidota; Flavobacteriia
Description: bacterial SSU rRNA
Rfam family: Bacterial small subunit ribosomal RNA
Source: RNAcentral
AAUGGAGGCAACUCUGAUCCAGCCAUGCCGCGUGCAGGAAGACUGCCUAUGGGUUGUAAACUGCUUUUAUAUAGGAAGAACCUACUUACGUGUAAGUAGCUGACGGUACUAUAAGAAUAAGGAUCGGCUAACUCCGUGCCAGCAGCCGCGGUAAUACGGAGGAUCCAAGCGUUAUCCGGAAUCAUUGGGUUUAAAGGGUCCGUAGGUGGAUAAUUAAGUCAGAGGUGAAAUCUUGCAGCUCAACUGUAAAAUUGCCUUUGAUACUGGUUAUCUUGAGUUAUUAUGAAGUAGUUAGAAUAUGUAGUGUAGCGGUGAAAUGCAUAGAUAUUACAUAGAAUACCAAUUGCGAAGGCAGAUUACUAAUAAUCAACUGACACUGAUGGACGAAAGCGUGGGUAGCGAACAGGAUU